CCGGGUUCCUGCUGCACUACCAUGCGCCGUGCGGCCCGUGCGACUCGCCGGACCUCGCGGGCGUCCCUGUACGGAGCCCUCGGCCGGUCCUAGCAGGGAUUGUCCCCAUUUCCAGCUCCGGAGCGGGCGGCUGCGCCCCGCUCGUCGAGGAGCUGCGCUCACCUCAGGGGCGGGCCCCCGCCUGCGUUCGCGGCGCCAGCAGAAGACUGAUUUUUGAAAAUAUGUAUUUGGGAGACAGUCACGUCCUAUUGAAUACCUUGUGCUGGUGCUGCCAUCGAAAAAUCUGGUUACACUCCGGGGAGGACUGCUACCACUGCAGAACUGAACCACUUCGGCCAUGAGAUGAGUGUCCGGCCUGAGCAGGCACACCAUGAAUAGAUACACAACAAUCAGGCAGCUCGGGGAUGGAACCUACGGUUCCGUCCUGCUGGGAAGAAGCAUUGAGUCUGGGGAGCUGAUUGCUAUUAAAAAAAUGAAAAGAAAAUUUUAUUCCUGGGAGGAAUGCAUGAACCU
This 513-nucleotide long non-coding RNA is filed under the name Pan troglodytes (chimpanzee). RNAcentral's name for it is "long non-coding RNA NONPTRT015164". Lineage: Eukaryota; Metazoa; Chordata; Mammalia; Primates; Hominidae. The record is from RNAcentral.